This is a transfer RNA of Felis catus (domestic cat), 73 nucleotides long. It matches the Rfam family "tRNA". Rfam says of the family: Transfer RNA (tRNA) molecules are approximately 80 nucleotides in length. Their secondary structure includes four short double-helical elements and three loops (D, anti-codon, and T loops). The record is from Rfam. Lineage: Eukaryota; Metazoa; Chordata; Mammalia; Carnivora; Felidae.
GCCUGGCUGGCUUAGUUGGUAGAACAUGGGACUCUUGAUCUCAAGGUCGUGAGUUCGAGCCCCACGUUGAACA